Molecule: long non-coding RNA, 1127 nt
Filed under: Monodelphis domestica (gray short-tailed opossum)
Lineage: Eukaryota; Metazoa; Chordata; Mammalia; Didelphimorphia; Didelphidae
Description: lncRNA (ENSMODG00000038525.1)
Source: RNAcentral
UCUACUUUCUUUUCUUCAUCUUCUUUCUCUUCUCCUUUCCCUUCCCUCGUUCCCCUCCUCUGCUUCCUCUUCCAUUCUUUUUCCUCCCCAUACCAGAUCCUCUUCCAUAUCCAUACAUUAGGCACCUACAUAGUGUUUAAGCUCUAAUGAAACUGGACAACUUUGUUCUGGUAACAUUCCGUGAUCUCCCAACUUCAUGUUUUUAUUUAAGUUGUUUGGCAUUGUGUCUUUCUUUACAAUUUUGUCUUUUUAAAAUACUGAGCCAUAAGAGUCAGCUCCUUUACAAAGACUUUCAUUGUGACCAUUGUAUUCCUUAUUUGAGAGGUAAAUCAAUGAUUAUAGAGAUUUUUAAAAAAUCAACUUGAUUUCUUAAAUUAAAAACCUCACAAUAAUCAAGGAUUUUUUCCAUUUUAUUCAACCAGUUUUUUUUUAUUCUCCAGAAUGAGGAGUGUUUGUAGCUAUGUGCCACCAGUUUGGAAACAGAAAAUUCAGGGAGUCAUUGUAAAAAGGGAAUGAACAGGUGCUCAAGAUGGAAGAUAAAAAACAACUUAUUUUCAUAUCACAAUUUCAGAUUUGCCAAUCGCUUUCUUCUCAACGUGGCUAACUUGGUAAUUGACUGCUACUUAUUAGCCAGAGUGGAUAGAGAAAGGAGCUUGGACGAAUGUGCGGAUGGAUUGACAUUUUCUAAAACAUAUAUGUGUCCCAGGAUACUAGAUUAUAACUCCACAGCCCAAAGCCACGGUUGCUCUCAUUCUGUUGUUUUUAAAGAACAAGUGUUGGUACCUCUUUUAUUUGGUGUUUUACAAUGCGAACUCCAUAUAUUGGCUUUGGCUUCCCUCCAGUUCUCAAUUUGGGAAAGGCAGGAGAAUUCUGAUCAAAGGAUAUUUGCUGUAUGCUAUUCAGCAGGCAGAUGAGCCUUAUUAGAACUCUACUGACAAGCAGUCAAUAAUAAGGAAAUCUUGCUAUUCCUUAUUUACACAAAAGAGAAGGUGCUGAUUGACAAGAGCUGAAAUGUAUGACAGCCUUCCUUGUCUUUUCCAUCCCCUGGACAAAAUGCCUGUGAAUAGGGGCAACUGGAGAAGAUCCUGCAGAAUAAAUAGAUCUCUACCAUCCUUUCCUCUUACUAA